CAAUAGCGUAUAUUAAAGUUGUUGCAGUUAAAAAGCUCGUAGUUGGAUUUCGGGGCCCCGGGCGUUCGUUGCGUUUCCUGUUGGAUUCGUCUGGCGGGUGCGUGGCGGUCGUCGGUCUCUGAGUCGGAUCGGUCCGCCGAGAGGCGUGCACUGACCGACGGCCCCUGUUGUCUCUCGGGUUGCCCGCCUGCACUUAAUUGCUGCGGACGGGGAGUUCGGGACGUUUACUUUGAACAAAUUAGAGUGUUCCAAGCAGGCCGUUGCUUUGAAUACAUUAGCAUGGAAUAAUGGAAUAGGGCUGCGUGACUCGUUGCCUUCGGGUGGCGGGUCCUCGUGUCCUAUUUUGUUGGUUUUCGGGACCGCAGUCAUGGUCAAGAGGGACAGUUGGGGGCAUUCGUAUUCAGUUGUCAGAGGUGAAAUUCUUGGAUUUACGGAAGACGAACAACUGCGAAAGCAUUUGCCAAGGAUGUUUUCAUUAA
RNAcentral lists this ribosomal RNA (479 nucleotides) under uncultured eukaryote. RNAcentral describes it as "partial 18S ribosomal RNA". It matches the Rfam family "Eukaryotic small subunit ribosomal RNA", at positions 592 to 976 of the family's 1831-position model. The record is from RNAcentral.